RNAcentral lists this ribosomal RNA (94 nucleotides) under Geodermatophilaceae bacterium. Lineage: Bacteria; Bacillati; Actinomycetota; Actinomycetes; Geodermatophilales; Geodermatophilaceae. The record is from RNAcentral.
AACGCCCGGUCCCAUUCCGAACCCGGAAGCUAAGCCUCUCAGCGCCGAUGGUACUGCGCGGGGGACCGCGUGGGAGAGUAGGACGCUGCCGGAC